GGGCGCAUGGUCUAGUGGUAUGAUUCUUCUUUAGGGCUGGUCGUCUGACUAAGAUCCAUAGAAGAGGUCCUGGGUUCAAUUCCCAGUGCGCCCC
RNAcentral lists this transfer RNA (94 nucleotides) under Malassezia caprae. Its description in RNAcentral is "tRNA-Pro". It matches the Rfam family "tRNA". From Rfam's summary of the family: Transfer RNA (tRNA) molecules are approximately 80 nucleotides in length. The record is from RNAcentral. Lineage: Eukaryota; Fungi; Basidiomycota; Malasseziomycetes; Malasseziales; Malasseziaceae.